GGUUGACCUCGGAUCAGGUAGGAGUUACCCGCUGAACUUAAGCAUAUCAAUAAGCGGAGGAAAAGAAACCAACCGGGAUUGCCUCAGUAACGGCGAGUGAAGCGGCAAGAGCUCAAAUUUGAAAUCUGGCCCCUGGGGGUCCGAGUUGUAAUUUGCAGAGGAUGCUUCGGGUGCGGUC
Molecule: ribosomal RNA, 178 nt
Filed under: Talaromyces bohemicus
Lineage: Eukaryota; Fungi; Ascomycota; Eurotiomycetes; Eurotiales; Trichocomaceae
Description: partial 28S ribosomal RNA
Rfam family: Eukaryotic large subunit ribosomal RNA
Source: RNAcentral